UCCGGAAGCAGCAAGCGUGCCUGGGCAGAGACCCCCAGAGUGUAAAGAGGUCCUGGGACAGGCUUUGCACGUUCCACAAGAGGAUCCUGCAGGACCUCCUCCUUUGCCAUAUGCUCCUUCAGCAGUUCUGUCUGCACAAUCCCCGGCCACAGAGACACACAGCUGACCCCAUGGCGCCGCAGCUCGUGGGCACAGUCAGCAGCCAGCUUGUCACACUGUGGAGAGGCGGAAGGCAGGGAGCCCCAAGGUCUCAGCUGCCCACGCUCCCCAGUGUGAUGCCUACUCUAGCCAACCAAGAGGAGCACAAGCAAAGGAACUGUCCAUGGAUGAGGCAGAGGAGGAGCUGAGAGGAGCCAGCCUUACCAUUCUGACCACUGGGGAUUGUACCUCCUGAGCUAUAGUGUCUCGCUGUGUCGUCUAGACUGGAGUGCAGUGGUGUGAUCAUGGCUCAACUCCUAGGCUCAAGCGAUCCUCCUGCCUCAGCCUCCGGAGUAGCUGCUGGGACUGCAGGAACGUGCCACCAUGCCUGGCUCAAACACAAAGUUUUUUCAUAAAACUCACUUGGCGGCAAAAUUCUACCUUACCUGAAGUUAUUUACGGGGUUUUUAAUUUCCACUUUGAAUAAAUAUUCACAUCUUGUUG
RNAcentral lists this long non-coding RNA (642 nucleotides) under Homo sapiens (human). Its description in RNAcentral is "HSALNT0375800". The record is from RNAcentral. Lineage: Eukaryota; Metazoa; Chordata; Mammalia; Primates; Hominidae.